RNAcentral lists this ribosomal RNA (484 nucleotides) under uncultured Desulfotomaculum sp. RNAcentral's name for it is "bacterial SSU rRNA". It matches the Rfam family "Bacterial small subunit ribosomal RNA", at positions 901 to 1382 of the family's 1533-position model. The record is from RNAcentral. Lineage: Bacteria; Bacillati; Bacillota; Clostridia; Eubacteriales; Desulfotomaculaceae.
UUAAAGGAAUUGACGGGGCCGCACAAGCGGUGGAGCAUGUGGUUUAAUUCGACGCAACGCGAAGAACCUUACCAGGGCUUGACAUCCCCGUGACCGUCUAUGAAAGUAGGCUUUCACCUUCGGGUAGACAGGGAGACAGGUGGUGCAUGGUUGUCGUCAGCUCGUGUCGUGAGAUGUUGGGUUAAGUCCCGCAACGAGCGCAACCCUUACGGUUAGUUGCCAGCGGGUUAUGCCGGGCACUCUAGCUGAACUGCCGUUGACAAAAACGGAGGAAGUGGGAUGACGUCAAAUCAUCAUGCCCCUUAUGUUCUGGGCUACACACGUGCUACAAUGGCCGGUACAGACGGACGCAAAGCCGCGAGGUGGAGCAAAUCCUAAAAAGCCGGUCUCAGUUCGGAUUGCAGGCUGCAAUUCGCCUGCAUGAAGUCGGAAUCGCUAGUAAUCGCAGGUCAGCAUACUGCGGUCGAAUACGUUCCCGGGCCUU